GGUUAAGCGACUAAGCGUACACGGUGGAUGCCCUGGCAGUCAGAGGCGAUGAAGGACGUGCUAAUCUGCGAUAAGCGUCGGUGAGGUGAUAUGAACCGUUAUAACCGGCGAUUUCCGAAUGGGGAAACCCAGUGUGUUUCGACACACUAUCAUUAACUGAAUCCAUAGGUUAAUGAGGCGAACCGGGGGAACUGAAACAUCUAAGUACCCCGAGGAAAAGAAAUCAACCGAGAUUCCCCCAGUAGCGGCGAGCGAACGGGGAGGAGCCCAGAGCCUGAAUCAGUGUGUGUGUUAGUGGAAGCGUCUGGAAAGGCGCGCGAUACAGGGUGACAGCCCCGUACACAAAAAUGCACAUAUUGUGAGCUCGAUGAGUAGGGCGGGACACGUGGUAUCCUGUCUGAAUAUGGGGGGACCAUCCUCCAAGGCUAAAUACUCCUGACUGACCGAUAGUGAACCAGUACCGUGAGGGAAAGGCGAAAAGAACCCCGGCGAGGGGAGUGAAAAAGAACCUGAAACCGUGUACGUACAAGCAGUGGGAGCCUCUUAAUGGGGUGACUGCGUACCUUUUGUAUAAUGGGUCAGCGACUUAUAUUCUGUAGCAAGGUUAACCGAAUAGGGGAGCCGAAGGGAAACCGAGUCUUAACUGGGCGUUAAGUUGCAGGGUAUAGACCCGAAACCCGGUGAUCUAGCCAUGGGCAGGUUGAAGGUUGGGUAACACUAACUGGAGGACCGAACCGACUAAUGUUGAAAAAUUAGCGGAUGACUUGUGGCUGGGGGUGAAAGGCCAAUCAAACCGGGAGAUAGCUGGUUCUCCCCGAAAGCUAUUUAGGUAGCGCCUCGUGAAUUCAUCUCCGGGGGUAGAGCACUGUUUCGGCAAGGGGGUCAUCCCGACUUACCAACCCGAUGCAAACUGCGAAUACCGGAGAAUGUUAUCACGGGAGACACACGGCGGGUGCUAACGUCCGUCGUGAAGAGGGAAACAACCCAGACCGCCAGCUAAGGUCCCAAAGUCAUGGUUAAGUGGGAAACGAUGUGGGAAGGCCCAGACAGCCAGGAUGUUGGCUUAGAAGCAGCCAUCAUUUAAAGAAAGCGUAAUAGCUCACUGGUCGAGUCGGCCUGCGCGGAAGAUGUAACGGGGCUAAACCAUGCACCGAAGCUGCGGCAGCGACACUAUGUGUUGUUGGGUAGGGGAGCGUUCUGUAAGCCUGUGAAGGUGUGCUGUGAGGCAUGCUGGAGGUAUCAGAAGUGCGAAUGCUGACAUAAGUAACGAUAAAGCGGGUGAAAAGCCCGCUCGCCGGAAGACCAAGGGUUCCUGUCCAACGUUAAUCGGGGCAGGGUGAGUCGACCCCUAAGGCGAGGCCGAAAGGCGUAGUCGAUGGGAAACAGGUUAAUAUUCCUGUACUUGGUGUUACUGCGAAGGGGGGACGGAGAAGGCUAUGUUGGCCGGGCGACGGUUGUCCCGGUUUAAGCGUGUAGGCUGGUUUUCCAGGCAAAUCCGGAAAACCAAGGCUGAGGCGUGAUGACGA
This 1526-nucleotide ribosomal RNA is filed under the name Escherichia coli. Its description in RNAcentral is "partial 23S ribosomal RNA". It matches the Rfam family "Bacterial large subunit ribosomal RNA", at positions 1 to 1572 of the family's 2925-position model. Lineage: Bacteria; Pseudomonadati; Pseudomonadota; Gammaproteobacteria; Enterobacterales; Enterobacteriaceae. The record is from RNAcentral.